AUAAACGCUGGCGGCGCACAUAAGACAUGCAAGUCGAACGGAAGUCGUUAUAUUGAUUUGAAGAGAACGGAGAACUGUUCAAAGGGACAUGAUGAAGAUUAUAACAAUGGCUUAGUGGCGGACUGGUGAGUAAUACGUAAGCAACCUGCCUAUUAGAGGGGAACAACAGUUAGAAAUGACUGCUAAUACCGCAUAUGCCAUAGUAACCACAUGGUUACAGUGGGAAAGGAGUAAUCCGCUAAUAGAUGGGCUUACGGCUGAUUAGCUAGUUGGUGGGGUAACGGCCUACCAAGGCGACGAUCAGUAGCCGGACUGAGAGGUUCAACGGCCACAUUGGGACUGAGAUACGGCCCAGACUCCUACGGGAGGCAGCAGUCGGGAAUUUUGCGCAAUGGAGGAAACUCUUGACGCAGUGACGCCGCGUGCAGGAAGAAGGUUUUCGGAUUGUAAACUGCUUUAGACAGGGAAGAAAAAGGACAGUACCUGUAGAAUAAGCUCCGGCUAACUACGUGCCAGCCGCCGC
This 523-nucleotide ribosomal RNA is filed under the name uncultured bacterium. RNAcentral's name for it is "bacterial SSU rRNA". It matches the Rfam family "Bacterial small subunit ribosomal RNA", at positions 29 to 518 of the family's 1533-position model. The record is from RNAcentral.